AAAUUGAAGAGUUUGAUCAUGGCUCAGAUUGAACGCUGGCGGCAGGCCUAACACAUGCAAGUCGAGCGGAAACGAGUUAUCAGAACCUUCGGGGGACAAUAACGGCGUCGAGCGGCGGACGGGUGAGUAAUGCCUAGGAAAUUGCCCUGAUGUGGGGGAUAACCAUUGGAAACGAUGGCUAAUACCGCAUGAUGCCUACGGGCCAAAGAGGGGGACCUUCGG
RNAcentral lists this ribosomal RNA (222 nucleotides) under Vibrio parahaemolyticus. Its description in RNAcentral is "partial 16S ribosomal RNA". It matches the Rfam family "Bacterial small subunit ribosomal RNA", at positions 1 to 220 of the family's 1533-position model. The record is from RNAcentral. Lineage: Bacteria; Pseudomonadati; Pseudomonadota; Gammaproteobacteria; Vibrionales; Vibrionaceae.